Molecule: ribosomal RNA, 1018 nt
Filed under: Alteromonas sp.
Lineage: Bacteria; Pseudomonadati; Pseudomonadota; Gammaproteobacteria; Alteromonadales; Alteromonadaceae
Description: bacterial SSU rRNA
Rfam family: Bacterial small subunit ribosomal RNA
Source: RNAcentral
CAUGCAAGUCGAACGGUAACAAGAUGUGCUUGCACAUCGAUGACGAGUGGCGGACGGGUGAGUAAUGCUUGGGAACUUGCCUUUGCGAGGGGGAUAACAGUUGGAAACGACUGCUAAUACCGCAUAAUGUCUUUGGACCAAACGGGGCUUCGGCUCCGGCGCAAAGAGAGGCCCAAGUGAGAUUAGCUAGUUGGUAAGGUAACGGCUUACCAAGGCGACGAUCUCUAGCUGUUCUGAGAGGAAGAUCAGCCACACUGGGACUGAGACACGGCCCAGACUCCUACGGGAGGCAGCAGUGGGGAAUAUUGCACAAUGGGGGAAACCCUGAUGCAGCCAUGCCGCGUGUGUGAAGAAGGCCUUCGGGUUGUAAAGCACUUUCAGUUGUGAGGAAAAGUUAGUAGUUAAUACCUGCUAGCCGUGACGUUAACAACAGAAGAAGCACCGGCUAACUCCGUGCCAGCAGCCGCGGUAAUACGGAGGGUGCGAGCGUUAAUCGGAAUUACUGGGCGUAAAGCGCACGCAGGCGGUUUGUUAAGCUAGAUGUGAAAGCCCCGGGCUCAACCUGGGAUGGUCAUUUAGAACUGGCAGACUAGAGUCUUGGAGAGGGGAGUGGAAUUCCAGGUGUAGCGGUGAAAUGCGUAGAUAUCUGGAGGAACAUCAGUGGCGAAGGCGACUCCCUGGCCAAAGACUGACGCUCAUGUGCGAAAGUGUGGGUAGCGAACAGGAUUAGAUACCCUGGUAGUCCACACCGUAAACGCUGUCUACUAGCUGUGUGUGCCUUUAAGGCGUGCGUAGCGAAGCUAACGCGCUAAGUAGACCGCCUGGGGAGUACGGCCGCAAGGUUAAAACUCAAAUGAAUUGACGGGGGCCCGCACAAGCGGUGGAGCAUGUGGUUUAAUUCGAUGCAACGCGAAGAACCUUACCUACACUUGACAUGCUGAGAAGUUACUAGAGAUAGUUUCGUGCCUUCGGGAACUCAGAACCAGGUGCUGCAUGGCUGUCGUCAGCUCGUGUCGUG